GACGAACGCUGGCGGCGUGCCUAAUACAUGCAAGUUGAGCGAUGAAGCUUGGUGCUUGCACCAAUUUGAAGAGCAGCGAACGGGUGAGUAACGCGUGGGGAAUCUGCCUUUGAGCGGGGGACAACAUUUGGAAACGAAUGCUAAUACCGCAUAACAACUUUAAACAUAAGUUUUAAGUUUGAAAGAUGCAAUUGCAUCACUCAAAGAUGAUCCCGCGUUGUAUUAGCUAGUUGGUGAGGUAAAGGCUCACCAAGGCGAUGAUACAUAGCCGACCUGAGAGGGUGAUCGGCCACAUUGGGACUGAGACACGGCCCAAACUCCUACGGGAGGCAGCAGUAGGGAAUCUUCGGCAAUGGACGAAAGUCUGACCGAGCAACGCCGCGUGAGUGAAGAAGGUUGUCGGAUCGUAAAACUCUGUUGGUAGAGAAGAACGUUGGUGAGAGUGGAAAGCUCAUCAAGUGACGGUAACUACCCAGAAAGGGACGGCUAACUACAUG
RNAcentral lists this ribosomal RNA (497 nucleotides) under uncultured bacterium. Its description in RNAcentral is "partial 16S ribosomal RNA". It matches the Rfam family "Bacterial small subunit ribosomal RNA", at positions 28 to 507 of the family's 1533-position model. The record is from RNAcentral.